RNAcentral lists this ribosomal RNA (495 nucleotides) under uncultured bacterium. RNAcentral describes it as "bacterial SSU rRNA". It matches the Rfam family "Bacterial small subunit ribosomal RNA", at positions 400 to 885 of the family's 1533-position model. The record is from RNAcentral.
CGUGAGUGAUGAAGGGUUUCGGAUCGUAAAACUCUGUUGUUAGGGAAGAACAAGUGCCAUAGUAACUAUGGCACCUUGACGGUACCUAACCAGAAAGCCACGGCUAACUACGUGCCAGCAGCCGCGGUAAUACGUAGGUGGCAAGCGUUGCCCGGAAUUAUUUGGGCGUAAAGCGCUCGCAGGCGGUUCUUUAAGUCUGAUGUGAAAUCUUACGGCUCAACCGUAAACGUGCAUUGGAAACUGGGGAACUUGAGUGCAGAAGAGGAGAGUGGAAUUCCACGUGUAGCGGUGAAAUGCGUACAGAUGUGGAGGAACACCAGUGGCGAAUGCGACUCUCUGGUCUGUAACUGACGCUGAGGAGCGAAAGCGUGGGGAGCGAACAGGAUUAGAUACCCUGGUAGUCCACGCCGUAAACGAUGAGUGCUACGUGUCAGGGGGUUUCCGCCCCUUAGUUGCUGAAGUUAACGCCUUAAGCACUCCGCCUGGGGAGUACGU